CGGGACGGGUGAGUAACGCGUGGGUAACCUGCCUCAUACAGGGGGAGUAACAGUUAGAAAAUGACUGCUAAUACCGCAUAAGCGCACAGUGCUGCAUGGCACAGUGUGAAAAACUCCGGUGGUAUGAGAUGGACCCGCGUCUGAUUAGCUAGUUGGUGGGGUAACGGCCUACCAAGGCGACGAUCAGUAGCCGGCCUGAGAGGGUGAACGGCCACAUUGGGACUGAGACACGGCCCAAACUCCUACGGGAGGCAGCAUG
RNAcentral lists this ribosomal RNA (259 nucleotides) under uncultured bacterium. Its description in RNAcentral is "partial 16S ribosomal RNA". It matches the Rfam family "Bacterial small subunit ribosomal RNA", at positions 98 to 353 of the family's 1533-position model. The record is from RNAcentral.